UGCCUUUAUAUAGGCCCCUGCAUGAUUAAAUUUUGUAUUGUGUUUCAAGAGAACUGGCAUAUAUCUUUAUUGUAUAAUUAUGUAAAAAUGACACAUGGCCUUGAAAAGAAUGAUUGUAACACUCAUAUUCUGUGCUUAUUUCAGAAACUACAACUUUGUUAUGUAUUGAGCCACUUUAAGUCAAUAAAAACAGCAACUUAUGGUAUAUUACUUUUUUUCAUAGACACAAAGUUACGAAACCUGCUGAAGCAGAAGCAUCUGCUUCAAACGUACAUAUAGGAACCGAAGUUGAUACUGCUACCAAUAUAUCUGUACCAGACAACAAUGAAGUGCAUAUACAUGAUCACGAGUAUACAGCAUCAAACCCUCAACAUUUAAAAAGCUUCCCUUGAAGACUAGGAUGUUGUAAACUUGCAGUGAGAAAUAUACCUGCUUAAUUAAAGGAAACCAUCCUUGACAAUUGGGAACAUCAUAAUUGAAAGACCCUGGAAAGGGAUCAUGAACACUGUUGGGAGUGUCCAUUCAACUGAAAUAUAAAAGUCAGAAGAAUUGAAGAUUGCAAUGGAUGCAACAGAAGUGACCUAAUAUGACCAAAUUGAUAUGAAUAGCCAGUUUUUCGCUUGCAAUAAUGACAAGAGUCGCCACAAAGAAAAGACCUUAAUGUGUAUUACACCUAAUGCAGCUUAUUUCCAAUCUGUGCUGGAUACAAAUCUAAUUUGGCAAUUGUGAACCAUUGUGGCGUUUUAGAGAAGUUGCAAGUUGGUGAUAUAUUCCUGGCGGACAAAGGAUUUUGUAUAUUUGACAAACCUCCAAAUGACAUGACACUUAAUAUCCCAUUCUUUCUUACAAAUAAAUCCCACUUCUCAAAAGAGGAUGCACAACUUUGCUAUAAAAUUUCCAGAUGCAGAAUCCAUGUUGGAUGGGAAAAUGAGAGAAUUUUUUUUUUUUAAAAAUUCCUUAGCCAUAUUCUAUCAUAGUAUAGAUAUUGAUCUGACAAAAUAUUUCAGAUUUUGUGGAUCAUGUGAAUUUGCAGGUUCCCCUUUUGAAGGAGAUUGCAGAUAAAUCCUACAAACUUAUUAGAUUAAGUGCAUGUAUAUAUAUACCUUAAAUCUGCACAUAUCUGCCACAUUGAAUUUUUAAAGUUAAAAGUAAUGAAUACCAUAUAUGCAAUAUAACUUUUCUACAUAUUUAUAUAAAUAUAAAGCCUUUUAUAUUCAUAUGAAUAUAAAGCCCUUUGGAACGUCUCCAUCAGAAUGAAAUAUUCUCGAGAGGAACGUUAAACAAUAUACAAUCAAACAUAAAGCCUUUUGUUCUCAUUCUGAAGGUUUUCAAAUCUGCAUUAUUAAAAAAGAAGUAAAAUCCAUUGUUUUAGUAAAUGCAUGUAAUUGAAUGAUUUUUGUAAAGCUGGACACUGUGUCUAUACAUACAUGUAUUUUGGUUCAUCUAAAAUAAGAAAAACUCUGUCUAUAAAUGUUUAUUCAAUAAAUAUACAUGUAAUUACAUAACUUUGAUAGAUGCACCACUGAUAUCAUAAUAAAGUAUAUGUACAUGUG
Ostrea edulis (European flat oyster) is the source of this 1553-nucleotide long non-coding RNA. RefSeq lists it as uncharacterized. Lineage: Eukaryota; Metazoa; Mollusca; Bivalvia; Ostreida; Ostreidae. The record is from RefSeq and is a predicted model, not a curated record. The transcript is spliced from 3 exons.